ACUGCUCAGUAACACGUCGAUAAUUUGCCCUUUGGUCCGGGAUAACCUUGGGAAACUGAGGACAAUACCGGAUAGAAAAUGGAGGCUGGAAUGCGCCAUUUUUGAAACGUAAGGCCUAAGGAUGAGUCGGCGGCUGAUUAGGUAGUUGGCGGUGUAAUGGACCACCAAGCCGAAGAUCAGUAGGGGCCUUGAGAGAGGGAGCCCCGAGAAGGGCACUGAGACACUGGCCCUAGCCCCACGGGGUGCAGCAGGCGCGAAAACUCCACAAUGCGCGAAAGCGUGAUGGGGGAAUCCCGAGUGCUCAUGUUUUACAUGGGCUUUUGCCAAAUGUAAAUAGUUUGGCGAAUAAGUGGUGGGCAAGACCGGUGCCAGCCGCCGCGGUAACACCGGCGCCACGAGUGGGAAUCACAUUUAUUUGGCCUAAAGCGUUCGUAGCCGGCCUGGUAAAUCUCUUGUGAAAUCGCUUUGUUCAAGCAAGCGACGUGCAGGAGACACUGCCAGGCUAGGGACUGGGAAGAGUCAGGGGUAUGGAUAGGGGAGCAGUAAAAUGCUAUAAUCCUUUCUAGACCACCGGUGGCGAAGGCGCCUGACUAGAACAGAUCCGACGGUGAGGGACGAAAGCUAGGGGAGCAAUCCGGAUUAGAUACCCGAGUAGUCCUAGCCGUAAACGCUGUGAGCAAGGUGUUGCGCAAUCUUCGAGAUUGCGCAGUGUCGAAACGAAGGUAUUAAGCUCACCGCCUGGGAAGUACGGUCGCAAGACUGAAACUUAAAGGAAUUGGCGGGGGAGA
This 788-nucleotide ribosomal RNA is filed under the name uncultured euryarchaeote. RNAcentral describes it as "bacterial SSU rRNA". It matches the Rfam family "Archaeal small subunit ribosomal RNA", at positions 85 to 877 of the family's 1478-position model. Lineage: Archaea; Methanobacteriati; Methanobacteriota. The record is from RNAcentral.